CCCCGCCCAUUCGCCCCAGCCAAGGACUGCUCACUGAGAAUACAAAGAAGGCCCCCCGGAGGGGAGGGAGUCGACUCCAGUUGGCCUAUCCCAAGGAUUCUCCUAUCCUACCAACCCGUGUGAUGGACCCUGGACCACAAGAAGAGGAAGCAGUUAGGGGCAGUGGAGUCACCCUGGGGUUGACUGCACUCAUCAUCCACAGGAUGUGCACACUUACUUCACAGACACUCUUCUGCAGUCUCAAAAUCUCACCCAUCAACUAUGACCCCUCCUACCUGCUGCCCCAACAACAUAUUUAAUCAGCAGCUAACACUAUGUAGCCCCAGGGGGUUGCAGCGCCUGGGUUCUUAGGGGGAUCCCAGGUCCCCAAAAGGAGUUUAGAAUCCAAACUGAAGAGAGCAGACAAGCACAUGAGAAAUGCGAAUAAAACUAACCACAUCUAAGGAAGCCCUCUGUAAAAGGUCACAGUGUCAUCCGCCCAACUCCCAGGGCACGUUCCCGGCCCACCGCCUUCACUUGUUACAAGCAUCUUUCCUCGGAGGAGCCCAAAGCCCCACGCAAGACUCUUCCUUUCUUGCUCCCAGUCUCAGGGGCGAGACUCCCUCCCUGAGUCCCGGAUGCUCUUGCUCCUAGCCCUCCACUCCUAC
RNAcentral lists this long non-coding RNA (647 nucleotides) under Homo sapiens (human). RNAcentral describes it as "HSALNT0283412". Lineage: Eukaryota; Metazoa; Chordata; Mammalia; Primates; Hominidae. The record is from RNAcentral.